Molecule: long non-coding RNA, 947 nt
Organism: Lathyrus oleraceus (garden pea)
Lineage: Eukaryota; Viridiplantae; Streptophyta; Magnoliopsida; Fabales; Fabaceae
Exons: 3
Source: RefSeq, a predicted model, not a curated record
CCAAUCUCACUCUCAAAAUCGCUCGCGCUCUCAGCAAGCUUUCAAUCUCUCAUCCCUAACCUAUCUCAACGCAACCUCUCUCAAUCUUUCCCAAUCGCAUUUCUCUCAUCCCAAGCCUAUCAAACCUAAAGACGCCACAUAAGAGAGAUUCAGAGGGAAAACGGAGUGAUGCUCACCUUUGGGUGUGAUUUCGGUGGUUGCGGCAAGCUUGCAAUGAGCUCCCUUUGCCAGGAUUAGGGUUUUCGGAUUGAUACUCAAGAGCUCAAUGGGGAAAUUUUCAGAAGCGCUUUUGCUGUUCAGAAACGAGUUUAGCCCGUUUGAUGAUGGAUUUCGAAAAGUGAAAUGGGGUUGUGAGAAGGAUCAAGAACCUGAAGAUGAGAUUGGUCAAGAGUAGAUGAUAGAUUGAUGCCACUAUCGAUCAAAUUAUUUUCGAGAUGAAGCUCUUGUAAUAUUGGCAUUGUGGAAAAAAUCUGGUAGAAGAAAGCCUUUUAAUUGGUUGGAACUGAUAUCAAGCACUCUAAGCUUUGGAUACCGGGUUAACUCAUUUGGAAGGUUGUCACCGAGAUCAUCACCGGAUAAGUUCAAAUAGUUUAAUCGCAUAAACUGAGGAGUUACCUUGGGGAUGUUCCUAGUCAAACGAUUCUGGCUGAGAUCAAGAUAUUCUAUGUUCCCCCAUUUAAACAUCCUCGUCAAAUUUCCUUCAAAUUUGUUAUUUGACAGAUCAAGUACAACGCAACUUCCAGUCAGCGGCGACAACUGGCCGGUGAAACCAUUCGACGAGAUAUUCAGAAAGUGAAGCGUCGUGGAUGUAAUUAUACUCAGCGGUCCUGAGAGAUUGUCGGCGCUCAAAUCAAGUUCAGUUAGAACCAAAGAAUCUCCUUUAAGUAAGCCUCCUGAAAAUCUAUUGUUGCUAAGCUUAAGGAUUUGGAGAUCGUAAACAAAAUCGA